AUACUUAAAAGGUUUUUAAAAAGAGCUAGAAUGAAGCCAGAGGUCCGAGCUGAAGUUGUUUCUGCAUGGUGCACAAGAAUUUGAUAGCGUUUCACAAUUUAUUGAAGAAAUUUGAGCAAAGCAGAUUUAUGGAUUUAUGUGUUAGUGAAUCAGUUCAAACUGAUGUACCUAACUGAAGAACAUUCAAGUCGUGUUUUUCAGAAUUUAGAUUUUUGCAAUUCAAUAAUGUACACCUUGCAAGCAAAAGUUCAAGUGAUGGAUGUAAAUGAGAAUUAUUUU
Molecule: long non-coding RNA, 279 nt
Organism: Dendroctonus ponderosae (mountain pine beetle)
Lineage: Eukaryota; Metazoa; Arthropoda; Insecta; Coleoptera; Curculionidae
Exons: 2
Source: RefSeq, a predicted model, not a curated record